GUGCCGUAAGUGCCCACUCCAUGCAGGUCUCAAGCUGUCUAAACUGCGUACUGGUUUCAACUGAAAGUGAUGCAUGACAAAUUUUUACUUUUCUUUCUCAUACAAGAAAUUAACUGAUACAAGUUACGAAAUAUCUAAUCUUUUAUUGGAACAAUUGAAGAGUGACAAUGUAUUUCUACUGAGCUUUGAUUCGUGACGCAUGCACGUGGUGUAUUUGGAAAUAUCACAUCUCGAAGUUCGUGCAUAAGAUCUAUAUUUAUACGUUCCAAUGGAGAGUCUGAUUCUUCAGGAGAACUAGGACUUAAAGAUACCUGAAGCGUUUGGGUAGGCACUCCAAUCAGGAAUGGCAUAGGCGCUAAUAAAUAAUCUAUUAAUGCUAGUGGCAGAACUGGGAUGUAUAUGUGUUGCCAAAUCAUUGGAUAAAUUAAAGCGUUGCACGCUUGUACACAUGCACUUAGCCUCGAUAGACGUUUCGAAAUAAAAAUAAUACGGCGUUCAUAUAACAUAGAUGCGAAUAUCAUCAUCAUAUUGUGCGA
Solenopsis invicta (red fire ant) is the source of this 536-nucleotide long non-coding RNA. RefSeq lists it as uncharacterized. The transcript has 3 exons. The record is from RefSeq and is a predicted model, not a curated record. NCBI's taxonomy places the organism in Eukaryota, Metazoa, Arthropoda, Insecta, Hymenoptera, Formicidae.